RNAcentral lists this ribosomal RNA (745 nucleotides) under uncultured bacterium. RNAcentral's name for it is "bacterial SSU rRNA". It matches the Rfam family "Bacterial small subunit ribosomal RNA", at positions 8 to 796 of the family's 1533-position model. The record is from RNAcentral.
AGAGUUUGAUCCUGGCUCAGGAUGAACGCUGGCGGUCUGCUUAACACAUGCAAGUCGAACGGAGUAGAAAUACUUAGUGGCGGACGGGUGAGUAACGCGUGAGAAUCUGCCUUCAGGACGGAGACAACAGUUGGAAACGACUGCUAAGCCCCGAUGAACCGAAAGGGAAAAUAUUUAUAGCCUGAAGAUGAGCUCGCGUCCGAUUAGCUAGUUGGGGGGGUAAAGGCCCACCAAGGCGACGAUCGGUAGCUGGUCUGAGAGGACGAUCGGCCACACUGGGACUGAGACACGGCCCAGACUCCUACGGGAGGCAGCAGUGGGGAAUUUUCCGCAAUGGGCGAAAGCCUGACGGAGCAAGACCGCGUGAGGGAGGAAGGCUCUUGGGUUGUAAACCUCUUUUGUCAGGGAAGAACACAAUGACGGUACCUGACGAAUCAGCAUCGGCUAACUCCGUGCCAGCAGCCGCGGUAAUACGGAGGAUGCAAGCGUUAUCCGGAAUUAUUGGGCGUAAAGCGUCCGCAGGUGGCUUAUCAAGUCUGCGGUCAAAGACCGGGGCUUAACCCUGGAAAGGCCGUGGAAACUGAUAAAGCUAGAGUACCGUAGGGGUAGAGGGAAUUCCCGGUGUAGCGGUGAAAUGCGUAGAGAUCGGGAAGAACAUCGGUGGCGAAAGCGCUCUACUGGACGGUGACUGACACUCAGGGACGAAAGCUAGGGGAGCGAAUGGGAUUAGAUACCCUAGUAGUCC